This 688-nucleotide long non-coding RNA is filed under the name Callithrix jacchus (white-tufted-ear marmoset). RNAcentral describes it as "lncRNA (ENSCJAG00000076115.1)". Lineage: Eukaryota; Metazoa; Chordata; Mammalia; Primates; Cebidae. The record is from RNAcentral.
ACCUCCCCUCCUGGGGAGGGAAACUGACUCCUCCACUCGAGGCCGGACCAGGAGCUGCUCCACCACGAGACACCAUUAUGCAGUGGAAGACUGAGCACUUUCCCCUGUGAUCCAGAAGUGCAUUUUGCCUCCUGCCAUCAUUCUGAAGCCUCCUCAGCCAUGUGGAACUGUCUUGGGAUUAUUAGUGAAAUGAAAGAAGUUAAGAGCAAAAACAAUUCUUGAAAAGUAACUCCUGACACGAUCUGAGAUUUACGCUUGAAAGUGUGAGUGGAAGAAAAAACUGGUGAGCCAUCAUUGUGCAAAUGCAGUGCUGCCUGUAGAAAUGCUAUAUAUGCAAACCAUGUCCCAUGCUAUGUAUAUUUGGGAGGGUAAAGGCAAAAGCCUAAGGAAAUAUUCUUAGGGAAGUUAUAUCAAGCCCAAGAGCAGAUAUCUAUCUGUUCUUCAAAUCCUAACAGAAAGAAGAGAGUUUAGCCCUAUGUAUGGAAAUGGAAUUCUUGAUGGAAUUGGGUAAGUGCAAUCAAUACUCAUAAUUAAAGGAGAGCACUUCAGACAGUUGCAUCUAGUGUGAUGCAGUUCCUUGAGGACAGGCAAACUCAGAAGCAGGCUAUUAUUGACAAGAGUAAGCUACAUUUCUGAAAUUCUUAAAAGCUUGAAGAUGUUUUUACAAGAAAAAGACAAUCCUUUGGAG